RNAcentral lists this ribosomal RNA (506 nucleotides) under uncultured bacterium. RNAcentral's name for it is "partial 16S ribosomal RNA". It matches the Rfam family "Bacterial small subunit ribosomal RNA", at positions 28 to 507 of the family's 1533-position model. The record is from RNAcentral.
GACGAACGCUGGCGGCGUGCUUAACACAUGCAAGUCGAACGGUGAAGGGACUGGUUUUGCUGGUCCUGGAUGAGUGGCGAACGGGUGAGUAACACGUGAGUAACCUGCCCCCUUCUUCUGGAUAACCGCAUGAAAGUGUGGCUAAUACGGGAUAUUCUGGUUUUUUGGAUGGUUGGGCCGGGAAAGGAUUCCCCUUUUUUGGUUUUUUUGGGGGGGGGUUGGGCUGGCGGCCUUUCAGCUUGUUGGUGGGGGGAUGGCCUACCAAGGCGGUGACGGUUAGCCGGCCUGAGAGGGUGGACGGUCACACUGGGACUGAGACACGGCCCAGACUCCUACGGGAGGCAGCAGUGGGGAAUAUUGCACAAUGGGCGCAAGCCUGAUGCAGCGACGCCGCGUGAGGGAUGGAGGCCUUCGGGUUGUGAACCUCUUUCGCCAGUGAAGCAGGCCUGCCUCUUUUUGUGGGUGGGUUGACGGUAGCUGGAUAAGAAGCGCCGGCUAACUACGUG